GCUACCCUGGGGAGGAGGAACUUCUCAUCUGGCCUUGCUAAGGGAUCUCUCCUGGCUCAUCAGAAACCAUGCCCAGAAGCAAGGCCAGGGUGAGAGCAGGAGGAAGGGAUUCACUCUUCCCCAAAUAUUCCCUGCAUCCCAAGGCUGUACCAAGCAUGGGGUGCAUGGCAACGACCACAACUGGAGGCAAAUGCCUGGGAGAAGAGAAGACACACAGAAAGCUAUGACAUCAGACAAAGGGGCAGGUGCCCCCCGAAAGAUGUCACCAUGCAAAAAACUUGAGAAGCAAAGGAAGAAAAAAAUAAUUCUUUUUGUGGGAGUUGAGGGGAAGGCUUCAUGGAAUGCUGGCUUUUCCCCAAGUCCUUGAGGAAUAAACAAGUCCUUGAGGAAUAAACAGGAGCUCAAUAAAUAGGUGAACGAGGAAAAGGGCAGAAUGAGCAGCAUAAGGAAUGGCUGGAUGUGCAGGGGCUGCUGCUGUACCGCAGAUGUCAAAAAGUGAAGUGAAAGGAGAAAAUGAUUCAGGGGGAAGCCAGCUGCCAUGUCUUGAGGACCCUCAAGCAGCCCUAUGGAGGGUCCACAGGGAGAAGAACUGAGGCCUCCUGCCGAUAACCAGCCCUGACUUGCCAGCGUGAGUGACCUCAGAAGCAGAUCCACCCGCCUCAAUCAAUCCUUCAUAUGACCGUGGCCCCAGCUCUCAUCUCGCUGCAGCCUCACGAGAGGCUCUGAUCCAGAACCACCAGACUAGUCUGCUCCCUUAUUUCUGACACUCAGAAAUUAUGUGAGAUAAUAAAUAUUUGUUGUUUUAAGUUGCUGA
Molecule: non-coding RNA, 814 nt
Organism: Callithrix jacchus (white-tufted-ear marmoset)
Lineage: Eukaryota; Metazoa; Chordata; Mammalia; Primates; Cebidae
Source: RefSeq, a predicted model, not a curated record